GAAAGAACGUAGCGAAAUGCGAUACUUGGUGUGAAUUGCAGAAUCCCGUGAACCAUCGAGUCUUUGAACGCAAGUUGCGCCUCAAGCCAUUAGGUUGAGGGCACGUCUGCCUGGGCGUCACAUAUCGUUGCCUGAUGCCAGUUUCCUCGUGAUGGGUGACUGUGCAGGGCGAAUGAUGGCUUCCCGUGAGCAUUGUUGCCUCAUGGUUGGUUGAAAAUUGACUCCUUGGUAGGGAGCGCCGUGAUAGAUGGUGGUUGAGUGACGAACGAGACCCAAUCAUGUGAGACCCCUACCGAAUUUGGCCUUCAUGACCCACAUGCGUCUUUGGAACGCUCAUGACGAGACCUCAGGUCAGGCGGGGCUACCCGCUGAGUUUAAGCAUAUCAAUAAGCGGAGGA
RNAcentral lists this unclassified non-coding RNA (398 nucleotides) under soil metagenome. RNAcentral describes it as "partial contains 5.8S ribosomal RNA, internal transcribed spacer 2, and large subunit ribosomal RNA". The stretch from base 3 to 120 matches the Rfam family "5.8S ribosomal RNA", at positions 39 to 154 of the family's 154-position model. The record is from RNAcentral.